UACGAAGGGGGCAAGCGUUGUUCGGAAUUACUGGGCGUAAAGGGCGCGUAGGCGGCUUAUCAAGUCAGGCGUGAAAUUCCCGGGCUCAACCUGGGGGCUGCGCUUGAUACUGAUUGGCUUGAAUGCGGGAGAGGAUAGUGGAAUUCCCAGUGUAGAGGUGAAAUUCGUAGAUAUCGGGAGGAACAUCAGUGGCGAAGGCGGCCAUCUGGUCUAACACUGACACUGAGACACGAAAGCGUGGGGAGCAAACAGG
RNAcentral lists this ribosomal RNA (253 nucleotides) under uncultured bacterium. RNAcentral describes it as "partial 16S ribosomal RNA". It matches the Rfam family "Bacterial small subunit ribosomal RNA", at positions 524 to 776 of the family's 1533-position model. The record is from RNAcentral.